RNAcentral lists this microRNA (24 nucleotides) under Bombyx mori (domestic silkworm). Its description in RNAcentral is "bmo-miR-3424". The record is from miRBase by way of RNAcentral. Lineage: Eukaryota; Metazoa; Arthropoda; Insecta; Lepidoptera; Bombycidae.
UCAUAUGUAGUAUUUUACCUAUGU